UACAGAGGGUGCUAGCGUUGUUCGGAAUCAUUGGGCGUAAAGAGCGUGUAGGCGGCUUGUUAAGUCUUGCGUGAAAUCUCGGGGCUCAACCCCGAGCGGUCGUGAGAAACUGGCAGGCUAGAGUGCGGGAGAGGAGAGUGGAAUUCCUGGUGUAGCGGUGAAAUGCGCAGAUAUCAGGAAGAACACCCGUGGCGAAGGCGGCUCUCUGGAACGCAACUGACGCUGAGACGCGAAAGCGUGGGGAGCAAACAGG
RNAcentral lists this ribosomal RNA (253 nucleotides) under uncultured bacterium. RNAcentral's name for it is "partial 16S ribosomal RNA". It matches the Rfam family "Bacterial small subunit ribosomal RNA", at positions 524 to 776 of the family's 1533-position model. The record is from RNAcentral.